This 334-nucleotide ribosomal RNA is filed under the name uncultured eukaryote. Its description in RNAcentral is "partial 18S ribosomal RNA". It matches the Rfam family "Eukaryotic small subunit ribosomal RNA", at positions 1470 to 1796 of the family's 1831-position model. The record is from RNAcentral.
CCCUUAGAUGUUCGGGGCCGCACGCGCGCUACACUGAAGGAAUCAGCGUGGCUUUCUCCCUGACCCGAAAGGGUUGGGAAACCCGUUGAAUCUCCUUCGUGAUAGGGAUUGGGGCUUGAAAUUGUUCCCCAUGAACGAGGAAUUCCCAGUAAGCGCGAGUCAUAAGCUCGCGUUGAUUACGUCCCUGCCCUUUGUACACACCGCCCGUCGCUACUACCGAUUGAACGGUUUAGUGAGGGCCUCGGAUUGGUCUCGGCCCGCUCUUCACCGGGCGGCGCCGUUGGUCGAGAAGACGCUCGAACUUGAUCGUUUAGAGGAAGUAAAAGUCGUAACA